This is a non-coding RNA of Manis javanica (Malayan pangolin), 836 nucleotides long. The record is from RefSeq and is a predicted model, not a curated record. Lineage: Eukaryota; Metazoa; Chordata; Mammalia; Pholidota; Manidae.
CCCCUGGGGGUGGUGCACGCGCUCAUUGGGCCUUGAGCCUCCCGCCGCCGCCGCUGCACCGCCCCCGGGCUUCGACCCGCCCCCUCUGGCCUCUGAUCCCCAGCGCCCGGGAGCGCAGCCCCGGAUUCUCGUUUUUCGUCGAGUCUUCGACCCCCAUUGUGGGUCGCGCUGGCCCGCAAACUGGUCGUGCCGGCACCCCGGCUUCUGCUCCCUGGUGUUAGCAGUCAUGGGUGCGAGGAGUUGUGUGUGGGACAGGGGCAACUCCCUGCAAAGCCAACCAUGUGCUUCCAGGCAGCGCCUCAGCUUCACGCCUCGGACGGCACCUGAUACACUUUCCCGCUCUUCCCGUCAGGAGGUGGUACCCUUAGGGUACUCGGCUUCCAGUCCCAGGCCAAUCGCAACGCGCUCGGAGCCGAAAAGGGCGGGACAGAGGCAAGAAAGGGAGGUCCCCAUUGGAGCUUUCGAAAGGUCCUGGGCAUAGGCGGGACGCAAAGGAUGGUGACCCCGCCCCUCCCGCGAUCACCAUAGUAACCAAGAGGGCAAGGCUCGAGGUCGGAUCCGGUGCUCCGGCUUUGCUCUGUCCCUAAAGAGGUGAGCAGAUCAUCAGAAACAAGGAAUAUCUGAAAACUGUCACAACCAAGAAAAAUCUAAGGAAGAUAUGGCAACUAAAUGUAAAGGGAUAUCCUGGACUGGAUUCUGGAACAGAAAAAGGACAUCAGGGUGUUCUGUUACUUCCAGGAAAGCUUAUCUAGCACUGUAAGUGCAUAAAGGAAUGAUGGAUGGAAGAACACCCAAGCACAGUGCCUGGUACAGAGCAGGCAUUCCUAUAGGUUGGC